UUUUUUUUUUUUUUUUUUUUUUUUUUUUUUGAGACGGAGUCUCGCUCUGUCGCCUUGGCUGGAGUGCAGUGGCUUGAUCUCGGCUCACUGCAAGCUCCGCCUCCGGGUUCACGCCAUUCUCCUGCCUCAGCCUCCCAAGUAGCUGGGACUACAGGCGCCCAGCCACCCCGCCCGGCUAAUUUUUUGUAUUUUUAGUAGAGACGGGGUUUCACCGUGGUCUCGAUCUCCUGACCUUGUGAUCCGCCCGCCUCGGCCUCCCAAAGUGCUGGGAUUACAGGCGUGAGCCACCGCGCCCGGCCAAUACCUGUUUUUUUAAACAUGAACAUUCACACAAAUAUGUAAUGGAUACUUCCCAGUUGUUGCCUUAUUGGGGAAGCAGUACACAGGAAGGGUUAAAAGCAUGGAUCUUGGCAUCAAACUGCUUGAAUUUGAAUCCCACCUCUGAUAUUUCUUCUUGUUUGACCCUGGACAGGUAAAAUGGUUUAAAAUGAUACCUAUAAGGUUGUUGCACUGAUUCAACGAGAUAAUCACUGUAAUGCAGUUAGCACAGGGCCCAAUAAAUGGUUCAUUUUACCUCCUACACAUCUCUGGAAUCCACUCACUUCUCACCAUCUCCUCUGCCACCUCCCCUGGCUAAGGCGACCAUCAUUCCUGCCAAUUUUAGCAUCUCCAGUCUCUUCCCCCUCCCUUCUGUUUUCAGCACAGCCGUCAGAACAUCUAUUUAAAAUGCAAUGUUAACUAUGUCACUACCCUACUCAAAUCCCUUCCAUGGCUCCCCACUGCUUAUAGGAAAAAUCCCAGAGUUUGGGGCCUGGCAUUCAAGGCUCCGCCUGAUCUGGCCUCAGUGGUUUCUCCCACCUCAUCCCUCAACAGUCUCCCUUCACUCUCUAUGACCUGCCCAUGACUUGCUGUUGCCACCUAACUCCAGCCCAGCCACUUUAAGCCUUUAUUUCAAGGCCUAAUGUAACUCAAUCUUCUCAGUCCUAGUCUCCAAUUCUGGCUUCCCUCAAAUUUCAGUCCUGGCUUGAUUGGCACAAAUUAUACAAAUGAGAAACCCCUACUCUGAGAGCUGGGAAGAGCUCCUCCCUGCCUGGUGGUCUCAUCCUGCACCACUGCCAAUGCUACCUUCAAUUCCUCUGGAGUGGGGCUGACUCCCACUUUGGAUGAGACCUGUCCCGUGUUUCAGCCAGCUCAGUUUGUCCCGAGAGAAUCCCAGAGCCGGUGCCUGGCACAGAGUAAAUGCCUGAUAAGCCUUCACUGAGCGAAUGUAACCCCAAAGGCUGGGUGAGGAGUAAAGCUGGGGCAAGAAGCAGAGAGGACCUCUGGGAUCUGUGUGGGAUAAAAGUAGGUUACUCUUAGGUGGUCUCAGGAAAGCCAGGUGGGCCCUGAGUGGGUUCCCCAGGGCUGGGAGCCCUGCCCUUUGCUGUCACCUAUGUUGUCUACUGAUGGAGGAUUUAGGUUUUCUUUUCUUUCUCAGGCAGAAGGUGGGAGAUGGGAGACAGAGCGAUCUCAAUUUAGCCGCCCUAAAAUUCCUAUUACUGUCAGAGAACCCCUCUGCCUAAGAUGCAUCACAUACCAGGACGAUUCUAACCUCUAGGACUCUUCCCUGGCAGGACUCUCCUCUGGGUUUCCUUCUCGUUUCCUUCUCAUCCGUCUACCCUUCCUAGUUUGACCUGGCUGAGCCCUGGUGAAAUCUCUGCCUUUCUUCCUUUCCGGGUCCAAGCACCUUUCACACCCUCUCUCUCCCCUUUCCUCCAUCUCUGUCCAACGCCCUCCCCCUCCCCCUUCCCCCUCCUCCACUCUGCCUCCAGCUUUUUUUGGCUGCUGUCUCUUCUUCCUCCUCCUCCUCCUCCCUCCUUCCCUGACGCUGAAUAAUCA
Molecule: long non-coding RNA, 1878 nt
Filed under: Macaca fascicularis (crab-eating macaque)
Lineage: Eukaryota; Metazoa; Chordata; Mammalia; Primates; Cercopithecidae
Description: lncRNA (ENSMFAG00000050286.1)
Source: RNAcentral